This 254-nucleotide ribosomal RNA is filed under the name uncultured bacterium. Its description in RNAcentral is "partial 16S ribosomal RNA". It matches the Rfam family "Bacterial small subunit ribosomal RNA", at positions 524 to 776 of the family's 1533-position model. The record is from RNAcentral.
UACAGAGGUCUCAACCGUUGUUCGGAUUCAUUGGGCGUAAAGGGUGCGUAGGCGGUCGUGCAAGUCGGAUGUGAAAUCUCAGGGCUCAACCCUGAAACUGCAUUCGAUACUGCGUGGCUAGAGUGCUGGAGAGGAGACUGGAAUUUACGGUGUAGCAGUGAAAUGCGUAGAUAUCGUAAGGAAGACCAGUGGCGAAGGCGAGUCUCUGGACAGCAACUGACACUGAGGCACGGAAAGCUAGGGGAGCAAACAGG